RNAcentral lists this ribosomal RNA (459 nucleotides) under uncultured bacterium. RNAcentral describes it as "partial 16S ribosomal RNA". It matches the Rfam family "Bacterial small subunit ribosomal RNA", at positions 338 to 795 of the family's 1533-position model. The record is from RNAcentral.
CCUACGGGAGGCAGCAGUGAGGAAUAUUGGUCAAUGGGCGCGAGCCUGAACCAGCCAAGUCGCGUGAGGGAAGACGGUCCUAUGGAUUGUAAACCUCUUUUGUCGGGGAGCAAAAGAGGCCACGCGUGGCGUUCCGAGAGUACCCGAAGAAAAAGCAUCGGCUAACGCCGUGCCAGCAGCCGCGGUAAGACGGAGGAUGCGAGCGUUAUCCGGAUGUAUUGGGUUGAAAGGGUGCGCAGGCGGAAGAUCAAGUCAGCGGUAAAAUUGAGAGGCUCAACCUCUUCGAGCCGUUGAAACUGGUUUUCUUGAGUGAGCGAGAAGUAUGCGGAAUGCGUGGUGUAGCGGUGAAAUGCAUAGAUAUCACGCAGAACUCCGAUUGCGAAGGCAGCAUACCGGCGCUCAACUGACGCUCAUGCACGAAAGUGUGGGUAUCGAACAGGAUUAGAUACCCUGGUAGUC